GACGAACGCUGGCGGCGUGCUUAAUACAUGCAAGUCGAACGGAAAGGCCCUGCUCUUGCGGGUUGCUCGAGUGGCGAACGGGUGAGUAACACGUGAGUAACCUGCACUUGACUUUGGGAUAUCUUUAGGAAACUGGGGCUAUUACAGGAUAGGAGCUAUUGAUGCACGGGGGGGGUUGGAAAGUUUCGGCGGUUGGGGAUAGAAUCGCGGCUUAUGAGCUUGUUGGUGGGGUAGGUGCUGACCAAGGCUUUGAAGGGUAGCCCGCCUGGGAGGGUAACCAGCCACAAUGGGACUGAGAGACGGCGCAGACUGGUACGGGACGCAGCAGGGGGAAACAUGACACAACAAGGGGAAGCCAGAGACAGCGACGCCGCGAGCGUGAUGACGGCCUACGGGGGAUAAACCACUGUCGCAUGUGACGAAGCGGGAUUGACGGUAAUGAGUAAAAAAGCACCGGCUAACUACGUG
RNAcentral lists this ribosomal RNA (468 nucleotides) under uncultured bacterium. RNAcentral describes it as "partial 16S ribosomal RNA". It matches the Rfam family "Bacterial small subunit ribosomal RNA", at positions 28 to 507 of the family's 1533-position model. The record is from RNAcentral.